Molecule: ribosomal RNA, 167 nt
Filed under: uncultured rumen bacterium
Lineage: Bacteria
Description: partial 16S ribosomal RNA
Rfam family: Bacterial small subunit ribosomal RNA
Source: RNAcentral
UACGGGAGGCAGCAGUAGGGAAUCUUUCACAAUGGGCGAAAGCCCGAUGGAGCAACGCCGCGUGCAGGAUGACGGCCUUCGGGUUGUAAACUGCUUUUAAAAUCGAGAAAUAUGAUGGUAGAUUUUGAAUAAGGACCGGCUAACUACGUGCCAGCAGCCGCGGUAAU